Molecule: ribosomal RNA, 1251 nt
Filed under: Streptococcus constellatus
Lineage: Bacteria; Bacillati; Bacillota; Bacilli; Lactobacillales; Streptococcaceae
Also listed under: 1 other name
Description: bacterial SSU rRNA
Rfam family: Bacterial small subunit ribosomal RNA
Source: RNAcentral
GAGUUGCGAACGGGUGAGUAACGCGUAGGUAACCUGCCUGGUAGCGGGGGAUAACUAUUGGAAACGAUAGCUAAUACCGCAUAAGAACAUUUACUGCAUGGUAGAUGUUUAAAAGGUGCAAAAGCAUCACUACCAGAUGGACCUGCGUUGUAUUAGCUAGUUGGUGAGGUAACGGCUCACCAAGGCAACGAUACAUAGCCGACCUGAGAGGGUGAUCGGCCACACUGGGACUGAGACACGGCCCAGACUCCUACGGGAGGCAGCAGUAGGGAAUCUUCGGCAAUGGGGGGAACCCUGACCGAGCAACGCCGCGUGAGUGAAGAAGGUUUUCGGAUCGUAAAGCUCUGUUGUUAAGGAAGAACGUGUGUGAGAGUGGAAAGUUCACACAGUGACGGUACUUAACCAGAAAGGGACGGCUAACUACGUGCCAGCAGCCGCGGUAAUACGUAGGUCCCGAGCGUUGUCCGGAUUUAUUGGGCGUAAAGCGAGCGCAGGCGGUUAGAUAAGUCUGAAGUGAAAGGCAGUGGCUCAACCAUUGUAGGCUUUGGAAACUGUUUAACUUGAGUGCAGAAGGGGAGAGUGGAAUUCCAUGUGUAGCGGUGAAAUGCGUAGAUAUAUGGAGGAACACCGGUGGCGAAAGCGGCUCUCUGGUCUGUAACUGACGCUGAGGCUCGAAAGCGUGGGGAGCGAACAGGAUUAGAUACCCUGGUAGUCCACGCCGUAAACGAUGAGUGCUAGGUGUUAGGUCCUUUCCGGGACUUAGUGCCGCAGCUAACGCAUUAAGCACUCCGCCUGGGGAGUACGACCGCAAGGUUGAAACUCAAAGGAAUUGACGGGGGCCCGCACAAGCGGUGGAGCAUGUGGUUUAAUUCGAAGCAACGCGAAGAACCUUACCAGGUCUUGACAUCCCUCUGACCACUCUAGAGAUAGAGUUUCCCUUCGGGGCAGAGGUGACAGGUGGUGCAUGGUUGUCGUCAGCUCGUGUCGUGAGAUGUUGGGUUAAGUCCCGCAACGAGCGCAACCCUUAUUGUUAGUUGCCAUCAUUCAGUUGGGCACUCUAGCGAGACUGCCGGUAAUAAACCGGAGGAAGGUGGGGAUGACGUCAAAUCAUCAUGCCCCUUAUGACCUGGGCUACACACGUGCUACAAUGGCUGGUACAACGAGUCGCAAGCCGGUGACGGCAAGCUAAUCUCUGAAAGCCAGUCUCAGUUCGGAUUGUAGGCUGCAACUCGCCUACAUGAAGUCGGAAUC